Molecule: ribosomal RNA, 460 nt
Filed under: uncultured bacterium
Lineage: Bacteria
Description: partial 16S ribosomal RNA
Rfam family: Bacterial small subunit ribosomal RNA
Source: RNAcentral
CCUACGGGAGGCUGCAGUGAGGAAUAUUGGUCAAUGGGCGCGAGCCUGAACCAGCCAAGUAGCGUGAAGGAUGACGGCCCUACGGGUUGUAAACUUCUUUUAUACAGGAAUAAAGUGAGGCACGUGUGCCUUUUUGUAUGUACUUUAUGAAUAAGGAUCGGCUAACUCCGUGCCAGCAGCCGCGGUAAUACGGAGGAUCCGAGCGUUAUCCGGAUUUAUUGGGUUUAAAGGGAGCGUAGAUGGGUUGUUAAGUCAGUUGUGAAAGUUUGCGGCUCAACCGUAAAAUUGCAAUUGAUACUGGCUGUCUUGAGUGCAGUUGAGGUAGGCGGAAUUCGUGGUGUAGCGGUGAAAUGCUUAGAUAUCACGAAGAACUCCGAUUGCGAAGGCAGCUUACUAAACUGCCACUGACAUUGAUGCUCGAAAGUGUGGGUAUCAAACAGGAUUAGAUACCCUUGUAGUC